AAUGAACGCUGGCGGUAUGCCUAACACAUGCAAGUCGAACGGCACCACAGUAAGAGCUUGCUCUUACGUGUGUCGCGCGUCGGACGGGUGAGGAAUACACCGGAAUCUACUUUUUCGUGGGUGAUAACGUAGGGAAACUUCCUCUAAUACCACAUACGACCUACUGGUAUAAGCACGCGUUCUUCGAACCUUUCGCGAUUGUAUGAGCCUAGGUCGGAUUAGCUAGUUAGCUGGGCAAAGGCCCACCAAGGCCACGAUGCGUAGAUGGUCUGAGAGGAUGAUCAGACACACUGGAACUGAGACACGGUCCAGACUCCUACGGUAGGCAGCAGUGGGGAAUAUUGGGCAAUGGGCGCAAGCCUGAUCCAGCCAUACCGCGUGAGUGAAGAAGGCCUUCGGGUUGGAAAGCGAUGAUGUUGGGAGAGAAAAACAGCAGGUUAAUACGCGGCUGUACUGACGGUACCCAAAGAAUAAGCACCGGCUAACUUCGUG
Molecule: ribosomal RNA, 492 nt
Filed under: uncultured bacterium
Lineage: Bacteria
Description: partial 16S ribosomal RNA
Rfam family: Bacterial small subunit ribosomal RNA
Source: RNAcentral